CAGUAGCCGCGGUAAUACAGAGGGUGCGAGCGUUAAUCGGAUUUACUGGGCGUAAAGCGUGCGUAGGCGGCUUUUUAAGUCGGAUGUGAAAUCCCUGAGCUUAACUUAGGAAUUGCAUUCGAUACUGGGAAGCUAGAGUAUGGGAGAGGAUGGUAGAAUUCCAGGUGUAGCGGUGAAAUGCGUAGAGAUCUGGAGGAAUACCGAUGGCGAAGGCAGCCAUCUGGCCUAAUACUGACGCUGAGGUACGAAAGCAUGGGGAGCAAACAGGAUUAGAUACCCCAGUAGUCUCUGUCUCUUAUAC
This 301-nucleotide ribosomal RNA is filed under the name uncultured bacterium. Its description in RNAcentral is "partial 16S ribosomal RNA". It matches the Rfam family "Bacterial small subunit ribosomal RNA", at positions 509 to 807 of the family's 1533-position model. The record is from RNAcentral.